UGUGACCAGGCUUGGCCCGUCCCCAGCCCCCACCCCGACAUCAACACACUUACUUCUGAAUGACGAUCUUUUUCUCCUGGUCACAACCCACUGAAAUGAGCGCCGUCUGCGGAGGAGAGAGGCAGGGAUGCUGACCUGGGUCGGUGAGGGCCACUGAUGGCUCAGCCACAGCAAAAAUUCACAUGGGGACACUCAUACCCAGGAGAGACUGGACACGAACAGUUGGAAGGGACUAUGGGACAAACGAUGCCCAGCCUGCCCUGAUGCCUGACAUGGUGCCUGCCAGGUCUCUACACGACCAAGACUUUCCAGACUGUUCUUUUGUGCCUAAGUCAGGAAUUUCCAGACAUGUGAUUUCAAGGGCACGCAAGAAAAUCCCCAUGGUGGGAGAUGGAUAUUUUAUCAUGGCAAGUCAAGAAAAUAAGAAAUUAAAACACUACCAUUCAUUGGCACCAUUGUUUCAUAAAAAGGUAUCUUAAUAAACCAAUAUACUCAUAUAAGGCACAGAGACUUUUAUUUUCUCAUAUCACUAAAUGCCAUGGAUCCAAAGGCUAUUUGGCA
This is a long non-coding RNA of Canis lupus familiaris (dog), 561 nucleotides long. RefSeq lists it as uncharacterized. The transcript is spliced from 3 exons. Lineage: Eukaryota; Metazoa; Chordata; Mammalia; Carnivora; Canidae. The record is from RefSeq and is a predicted model, not a curated record.